UUUAAAGUCUAACCUGCCCAAUGAGGGUUUAAAUGGCCGCGGUAUAUUGACCGUGCAAAGGUAGCAUAAUAAUUUGUUUCUUAAUUGGAAGCUAGAAUGAAUGGUUGGACGAGAAAUUUACUGUCUCUUAUUAAUUGUAUUAGAAUUUUAUUUUUAAGUAAAAAAGCUUAAAUUUUUUUAAAAGACGAGAAGACCCUAUAGAGUUUUAUAAUUUAUUUUAUUAAUUUUUUUUGGUAUUAUUUAUUUUUUAUGAUUUUAUUUAUUUUGUUGGGGUGACGGGAAAAUUUGAUUAACUUUUUUUUUUGUUUUCAUUUGUUUAUGAUUUUUUGAUCCGUUAUUUACGAUUAUAAGAUUAAAUUACCUUAGGGAUAACAGCGUAAUUUUUUUUUAGAGUUCUUAUUGAAAGAAAAGUUUGCGACCUCGAUGUUGGAUUAAAAUUAAUUCUUGGUGUAGGAGCUUAGAUAUUGGGUCUGUUCGACCUUUGAAAUUUUACA
RNAcentral lists this ribosomal RNA (494 nucleotides) under Idaecamenta sp. DA3710. RNAcentral's name for it is "partial 16S large subunit ribosomal RNA". It matches the Rfam family "Bacterial large subunit ribosomal RNA", at positions 1844 to 2600 of the family's 2925-position model. The record is from RNAcentral. Lineage: Eukaryota; Metazoa; Arthropoda; Insecta; Coleoptera; Scarabaeidae.